This 46-nucleotide ribosomal RNA is filed under the name Aspergillus awamori. Lineage: Eukaryota; Fungi; Ascomycota; Eurotiomycetes; Eurotiales; Aspergillaceae. The record is from RNAcentral.
GUCAUUGCAUAAAGCCUAUAUGAUUUAGACACAAGAUAGAAUUGGU